ACUCCUGCGGGAGGCAGCAGUGGGGAAUAUUGCACAAUGGGCGCAAGCCUGAUGCAGCCAUGCCGCGUGUAUGAAGAAGGCCUUCGGGUUGUAAAGUACUUUCAGCGGGGAGGAAGGCGAUAAGGUUAAUAACCUUGUUGAUUGACGUUACCCGCAGAAGAAGCACCGGCUAACUCCGUGCCAGCAGCCGCGGUAAUACGGAGGGUGCAAGCGUUAAUCGGAAUUACUUGGCGUAAAGCGCACGCAGGCGGUCUGUCAAGUCGGAUGUGAAAUCCCCGGGCUCAACCUGGGAACUGCAUUCGAAACUGGCAGGCUAGAGUCUUGUAGAGGGGGGUAGAAUUCCAGGUGUAGCGGUGAAAUGCGUAGAGAUCUGGAGGAAUACCGGUGGCGAAGGCGGCCCCCUGGACAAAGACUGACGCUCAGGUGCGAAAGCGUGGGGAGCAAACAGGAUUAGAUACCCGAGUAGUCCCAUGAU
Molecule: ribosomal RNA, 475 nt
Filed under: uncultured organism
Description: partial 16S ribosomal RNA
Rfam family: Bacterial small subunit ribosomal RNA
Source: RNAcentral